UCAAACUGGGAAAAAGAAAUUCCAAAGGAAGACACAUCCAUUGGAAAGACUCAAACAGACUCACAGAAUGCGUGUGUUGGGAAUAACACCAACACAGCAAGAAGAGAAAUAACCACAAUUCCGCUGGGGAAAUCUAGUUGAAGAUUAUCCCGGGGAAUCCAAAGGAAUGAGAUGUUACCGGUUAGUGAGUAACAUACUCAGGAA
Molecule: long non-coding RNA, 204 nt
Filed under: Lathyrus oleraceus (garden pea)
Lineage: Eukaryota; Viridiplantae; Streptophyta; Magnoliopsida; Fabales; Fabaceae
Description: Pisum sativum (pea) long non-coding RNA (PSAT_LNC026228)
Source: RNAcentral